This 495-nucleotide ribosomal RNA is filed under the name uncultured bacterium. RNAcentral describes it as "partial 16S ribosomal RNA". It matches the Rfam family "Bacterial small subunit ribosomal RNA", at positions 28 to 505 of the family's 1533-position model. The record is from RNAcentral.
GAUGAACGCUGGCGGCGUGCCUAAUACAUGCAAGUCGAGCGAACAGAUGAGGAGCUUGCUCCUCUGACGUUAGCGGCGGACGGGUGAGUAACACGUGGAUAACCUACCUAUAAGACUGGGAUAACUUCGGGAAACCGGAGCUAAUACCGGAUAAUAUAUUGAACCGCAUGGUUCAAUAGUGAAAGACGGUUUUGCUGUCACUUAUAGAUGGAUCCGCGCCGCAUUAGCUAGUUGGUAAGGUAACGGCUUACCAAGGCAACGAUGCGUAGCCGACCUGAGAGGGUGAUCGGCCACAGUGGAACUGAGACACGGUCCAGACUCCUACGGGGGGCAGCAGUAGAGAAUCUUCCGCAAUGGGCGAAAGCCUGACGGAGCAACGCCGCGUGAGUGAUGAAGGUCUUCGGAUCGUAAAACUCUGUUAUUAGGGAAGAACAAAUGUGUAAGUAACUAUGCACGUCUUGACGGUACCUAAUCAGAAAGCCGCGGCUAACUACG